This 3228-nucleotide long non-coding RNA is filed under the name Homo sapiens (human). RNAcentral's name for it is "HSALNT0269599". The record is from RNAcentral. Lineage: Eukaryota; Metazoa; Chordata; Mammalia; Primates; Hominidae.
CCGGCACCCGCGCAACGGAGGAGGGGCGCUGUGCCCUCUCCCCAACGGCGGUCAGCUUGGAACGCCUGCCCGGCGCACGCCCGGGGCCGGGGAGCCGAACUCGGUGCCAGCCGCACCCGGGCGGGUUGCUGGUGCGCCCUCCCCUCGCCCCCGUCCCUGGGGUCCUUGACCCAGGCUCUUGGGGCUAGCCUAUCUUCUGAGGAGCACAAGGUCCCUGGGGGCUCAGGGAAGAGAAAUUGGAGAAAGGGGGAGGAAGCCCCCAAGAUGGAUCACCCAUUGCCUGGUUUCGCAGGAGACUGUCCGCCUUCAGUUCUCCAGCAGCUCGGGGAUCAUGGCCCACUGAACCCCCAAGCGCUUUCACCCGAACCCAAGGAGGACGACCAGGAAAGACGGGAACUCGCGUAGACACGCCCGGAAGCCCUUGUCAUGUAAAUAGCUGUCGGGGACUGGUGUAUUGUCGCCGCCCCAGCCGGCGGGACCUGGGGCGAAUCCACACCCAUUGUCUGCUGCCCAAGGGGCCUCCGGCUGGGGGGCGCGGCUGCGGAGUUCAAAAGGGGUAUGAGCAGGAGGGGUGUACUUUUAGUUCAUUAAGUUUUAAUUACAGGAGUGCUACAAGAACACAUUCUUCAGGUUUAAAAAGAUAUUAAAAUAUUACAUAAGAGACCUCCCCUCCCUGGCCCACCUCCAGCCUCUUAAAAAUUUAGUGUGUCGCCUUUUAGACACUUUCUCAAAGCUUCACUUAUUUAACAGGCACUUAAGGAGCACCUACCUGUGCCAGAAACUCUCCAAAUAUUAACUCAACCUGACACCGACUCAGUGUGGCCGAAUAUUACUCUCCCCAUUUUACAGAGCGGGCAGCUGGUCAAGGAAGUCGCUUGUUGAAAGUCACACAGUGGUGGAGCCUGUGUGCCAACCCAGGACCCUGGGGAGCUGCCUCCCCCUCUCCCACGUAGUCCUGAUUCUUUAAGUGUCCACAUAUUCCUGUAAUGCCUGGAGUUUCAGUAAUUAGCAGGGACUUAGUGUGUUCAGAGAAAAAAAAAGCUUUUAAAAAUUAUUGUUACUGUGUUUGUAACAGUUUGGAUAGAGAAGGAAAAGCUGGAAUUUGGGAAGUGAAGGUGGCCUCGGGGUAGAACUUACCUAGACCAGAGCGAAUUCAUCCUGAAGAACUCAGAGAAAGCCGGUGCAGGAAGUGGGUUCCCGCUCUCCCUGCACAGGCACAGUGAUGCUGCCAGAGCUCUCCCAGAAAGACCAGGAGGCUUGUUCUGGAGAAGUCAAGCCCAGGGAUGUGGCUCAGGCUGGUCCAAGCUCUUUGGAGGAGUCCAAGCGUGCCCAGCCCAGAGGGAGGUUCAGAGGCACUGACCGUCUUCUGUUUGGGAGGAGAAGCUCACUCUUGGAGCCACAGCCAGCACUAGGUCAGGACCCAGGCCCCGGCCCAGGAGUGGGGCAAUACCCAGCGUCUACCCCAGAUGGCACCCUGCUGUGAACUGGGCGCCCUCAGCCCCUGCCUUGAGGAAGGGGCAAUACCACCAGCGUGUCUUUUAUCAGGGAAGAUAUUGCUGCAGUUUGGCCGCUGCAACUUAAGAGAAAAGCUAAGGGGUCCCCCAGCAUCCCUUGGGGUGCCACUGCAAAUACUGGCUGGGCCUGGAGAUGACCUGGGUCCCAUUCACUUCCUAGGGUGAAGGAGGUCAUCAUUACCACCCCUGCUUUCAGCCAUUUCUUCAUUCAUUCAAUCAACAAACUGGCUGAGCUGCAACCCUGAGCCGGGGAAUUCAGCCACUCCAGACACAGCCCCUGCCCUCCGGGAAGUCUCGGGAGACCUGGCUAGUCUGGCUGGGAGAAGUCACACGUUGAUUGUCUUGGAAGUGAGAUGGCAUUUACACAAUGGAGGCUGCACUGCCAGCAGGCAAAAAUAACCAGUUAAUUCAGUGGCUUAAAGAAACCAAACCUACCCACAACGCUUGACCUCCCAUUGAUCCAUCUGCGACACCGGCAGUGGCUACCAUUUAUUGAGUGCUGAUGGUGUCACCUGGGAUUGACUUAGUGGUCUCUGGCGCUAGUUCCGAAGUUGAUUCUGUCUGGAGAGCUUAAUGCAGUGUUCAGACCUCAGGGUCCGAACCUGAGGGUCACCCAAAGAUGAGUGGGACAUAGCUGUGUGACCUCGGCUGAGUGCUUUCACCUCUCCAACCUCAGUUUCCUCUUCUGCAAAAUGGGGUGGCUUCAUGGCACCUUCACGUGGUGUGAUUGCGAGGAAUGAAGGGAUCGAUGCCUUGCAAGUAGAGGAGAAGGGGCCGGAUACAUCUUAGUUGUUAUGUUAUUUAAUCAUCUUGGCAACCCCGGGAGGGAGGAACCACUAUCAUUUUAUUUUCCAUUUUGCAGUUGAGGACAAUGAUGAUUCCAGCACAGACAGGGCCCCUGACGGGGCAGUAGGAAAGGAGAAUUGCUUUGGAAGGAGCAUAGGCUGGACUGCCAGCACUCAUAGGAGGCUUCGUGUGUGCCCAGGACUGCGAGAAUUAAAUACAGGACACCCAGUUCAGUUUGAAUUUCAGAUAAACUAUGAAUAAUGAUUAGUGGUCUGGUCUAGGGACAAAUGCUGAGACGUCUGCAAGGCCAUCUAGAACGCCAGGAAGGCACUGUGGGAACCCAGAGGAACAGGGCACGACGGUGCCCAACAGUCCCAGGAAAACACUCUGUGCCCUUCACCUACAUCUCCAUGCCAGGGUUGGAGACAGGGUCCUGUCCCAUCUGCACAUGGAGCCCUCCGGACGGGUGAAUCUGUCGUCAGUUUGGGGCUUGGGAAUCGGUGUCCAAGAGCUGGCUUCAAAGGCAAUGAAACUGGCAUUGCAUCUUUGAAGGCAGCACAGGCUACAUCUGUCUUAUUCUCCGUGUCCACAGCCCCUAGCAGUGACUGGCAUGUGGUCACGCCCAAUAAAUAUUUGCUGAAUGAAUGAACGCAAAACAAUUUGCAAUGUGGACUAGUCCCUUAAAGUAUGUGUAUCUGCAACCGGUAAGUCUACCACAUAUCUUAAGGAAAUAAUCAGAGAAGUGAACAGUUUUAAGGAGAAGAACGUUGAUCCUAUCUUCAUUCGUAAAAGCAAAAGUGCAAUGAAAUUAAAAACAAAUAGAAGAUGCGUAAAUAAAAGGCAGUGAUCAUAAAACUGUUCAAAACCUUGUUUUCAAAAAUUAUCUGAUGAUAUAAAGUCCCAUAUAAACUAAAUUUAAAAAUAGGCU